GCCGGCGUAGCUCAGCCUGGUAGAGCGUUCGCCUCGUAAGCGAAAGGCCGAGGGAUCGAUGCUUGCCUCAAGCGAGAAGCCCUCCGCCGGCU
This 92-nucleotide transfer RNA is filed under the name Nitrososphaerota archaeon. RNAcentral's name for it is "Thaumarchaeota archaeon tRNA-Thr". It matches the Rfam family "tRNA". Rfam says of the family: Transfer RNA (tRNA) molecules are approximately 80 nucleotides in length. Their secondary structure includes four short double-helical elements and three loops (D, anti-codon, and T loops). The record is from RNAcentral. Lineage: Archaea; Thermoproteati; Nitrososphaerota.